CCGCACACGCGCACCCCGCUCCUCCUCUCCUUUGCGCGGCUGCCGCCCGUCAUCCUCCCCCGCAUCACGCGCGCACGCGCCCCACUCCAUCCUCGCCGCCCGUCCUCCUCCUCUCCUCUGCGUCGUCGCCGUUGUCCAUCGCCACCGCGCCCUCCUCCUCCUUCCACCUCCUAGCCCGCGCCCAAUCUCCGCAGCCCUUCUUCCCUCCCUGCGCCCGAAACCCUAGCCCCCAACCAUGGUGCCCGAAUCUGCAGGAGGUGUAGCAGAGAGGUCCCAGUGACCACGGCGGCGCAUUCGCGGCCGGUCCACCUCGGGCUGCUUCUCCACCACCACGCACUUGCCCCGCGUGCGCUCCUUCUCUCCCGGGAGUGGGCCGCAGCCAUGGAGAGUGGCCAGAGGAUCAAGGACGGCCAACCCCUACCUCCUCUCCAGCACGCUCGUCUUUGCCAUCUCUGCCGAAAAAGGAGACGGGAGCAAGAUGAGAAGACGAAGGAGAAGCCCUGCCAUCUCUGCCCCGUCCACUGCGUUGAGCGCGGCGACCGUCUGGGCUCUGCUUAUGCACCCCCAAACUAUUCACCUCCACGCCCCUUCCAAUCUCCCCAUCCCUUUCUUGCAAGUAUCCACACUCUCUCUUCCUCCUGAUUAACCUGCCCCCCAUUCAUGCCCUCCUCUUAUUUGAUUUAACCACAAGAAUUUCUUAUCUUUGUUUGUGCAGAUCCUUUUUGUGUAUGCCUACAAGUUGUUCGAUAAAAAUCCAAGCAGGUAUGCUUAGUAACGUCAAAGAGAUGCCGCCCAUUACAAAUUAUGAUAUUCAUCAUUACACAUUAGCACCACCAUGGAUAGCCAAGAUCCUUCCCAGCCAUGAUAAUCAGAGUGAACUUUGCUGUCAUUUUCAUCUAUCCAUCCAGAGGAAGUAGAUGAUUGAUAGAGAUUCGGAGAAAGCAAUUAAUAAAUGAAGAUCUCGAGGCUCCUAUUUCUUCAGAUUCAUUGCUAGCCCCACAAAGGAAGAGGAUGCCAGGACGAGGACUGUAAUCAAUCCCCACCUUACUGUCCCAACGACAGUGUCAAUGACUCCGAGCCUAGCAUUGUCGUCUUAUUUUCAUGACGGCGUGGUGUCUCGACGCGUGAUGGAUUCACUCACACGGAGGAAGCUUUUCUCCGCUACUCCGGUGACAAGCGCACAAGCUUUUGGGUCCAUGGCGCCACCGGUAAACAAGCCUGACAACAAAAGAAAGGGAUGUUGCCCCGUUAUCGUCGUCAUCCUCACGGGUUUUUCUCUAUCCACUUAGACGGAUUAUCACCCUUUUCAUGGAAGGAUAUAUAAGUUUAGAUCUGAAUAUAUUGUUAAGGCAUUCUCAGUAUCGAAUAUAUGAUGGUACAGAUUCCAGAGUCAUCAUUAUAAACAACAAGGGUUUAUGCCUUUCCAAAUUAAUUAUAGCCUCUGAACAUGAUGAUCAUGUGGACUAAGCUUGCAUGUGGGUGCGCCAAGGAGCAUGUCCAACCUAUGAAGGGAUAACAAUAAUUGGUCAGACUUUGUGAAGACAUCAUGGAUUGGAGAACGUCAGAUAUGUGUCCUUGCGUUCAAGGCUAAAAGGGGCAAACUGUUGCUUGCUAUCUACCUGCUUUGACAAGGUUGGUUACUAGGUCGUCAUCAUACAUGCAAAUGUUCCCUUUGACAAGGUUGGUUACUAGGUUCUUUGUGAGUGUUUGGUUGGACUUAUGUUGCACCGCUGAUCUGGCUCGCUUUGGUUAUCUAACAAACCAACUAUUGUAUCUACUUGGCGCCAAUUCAUCGGCUUGGCUUACUUUUGGAACAUGGUGCAUAUUUCCCCAUUUGUUGUGAACUUCCAGAUCUAAUGGUGCCAUGCUUUUGGUAUAUUUGAUCGCCUUAUCCUUCCACAGUGCCUGGAUAACUCUUCUGGCUCGCUUUGGUUAUCUAACAAACCAACUAUUGUAUCUACUUGGCGCCAAUUCAUCGGCUUGGCUUACUUU
Triticum urartu is the source of this 1992-nucleotide non-coding RNA. NCBI's taxonomy places the organism in Eukaryota, Viridiplantae, Streptophyta, Magnoliopsida, Poales, Poaceae. The record is from RefSeq and is a predicted model, not a curated record.